CCUACGGGAGGCAGCAGUGGGGAAUAUUGGGCAAUGGAGGCAACUCUGACCCAGCAACGCAGCGUGAAUGAUGAAGGUCUUCGGAUUGUAAAGUUCUGUGAUGGGGGAUGAAAACAAUGACGGUACCCCAAUAGCAAGCCACGGCUAACUACGUGCCAGCAGCCGCGGUAAUACGUAGGUGGCAAGCGUUAUCCGGAAUGACUGGGCGUAAAGGGUGCGUAGGUGGUUUAGUAAGUUGGCGGUGUAAUUCCGGGGCUCAACCUCGGCGCUACCGCCAAAACUAUUAGACUAGAGUGCAGGGGGGGUAAGUGGAAUUCCUAGUGUAGCGGUGGAAUGCGUAGAUAUUAGGAGGAACAUCAGUGGCGAAGGCGACUUACUGGACUGUAACUGACACUGAGGCACGAAAGCGUGGGGAGCAAACAGGAUUAGAUACCCGGGUAGUC
This 443-nucleotide ribosomal RNA is filed under the name uncultured bacterium. Its description in RNAcentral is "partial 16S ribosomal RNA". It matches the Rfam family "Bacterial small subunit ribosomal RNA", at positions 338 to 795 of the family's 1533-position model. The record is from RNAcentral.